This 193-nucleotide ribosomal RNA is filed under the name uncultured Rubrobacter sp. Its description in RNAcentral is "partial 16S ribosomal RNA". It matches the Rfam family "Bacterial small subunit ribosomal RNA", at positions 338 to 524 of the family's 1533-position model. Lineage: Bacteria; Bacillati; Actinomycetota; Rubrobacteria; Rubrobacterales; Rubrobacteraceae. The record is from RNAcentral.
CCUACGGGAGGCAGCAGUCGGGAAUCUUGCACAAUGGGCGAAAGCCUGAUGCAGCAACGCCGUGUGAGCGAUGAAGGCCCUAGGGUCGUAAAGCUCUGUUGUUAGGGACGAAGGGCGAAGGGUUAAUAGCCCCUAGCCUGACGGUACCUUUCGAGGAAGCCCCGGCUAACUACGUGCCAGCAGCCGCGGUAAU